Molecule: microRNA precursor, 114 nt
Filed under: Paramuricea clavata
Lineage: Eukaryota; Metazoa; Cnidaria; Anthozoa; Malacalcyonacea; Plexauridae
Source: RNAcentral
AGGGGAAAAUUCACACAGCAUGACCUCAGAAAUGCAAUUAGAAAUGCAACCAUCUUUUACGGAUGGUUGCAUUUAUAAUUGCAUUUCUGAGGUCAUGCUGUGUGAAUUUUCCCC